This is a non-coding RNA of Marmota flaviventris (yellow-bellied marmot), 3947 nucleotides long. The record is from RefSeq and is a predicted model, not a curated record. NCBI's taxonomy places the organism in Eukaryota, Metazoa, Chordata, Mammalia, Rodentia, Sciuridae.
GGCGGGCUUCGUCUCCUGCCAGGUCACCAAGUUGGAUCUGGGCAGAGCUGGAACUCUGGUGGGGUUCUACAGUUGGUGGGAUGGAACCGGGCCUCCCCUUGCCCAGGCUCCCGUGAAGGUCAGCUAGGCCAAUCUUGGCCAUGUUUGAGCUCAGCCUGUGGGCGGAGGCGGUCCUGUGUCUGGCCUGAGCGCUGCUGUUGUGGCAGUUGGUCUAGGCCUACCUUGGACCAGGCUCCUGUGCCUCUGAGCGAGGCCAAUCUGGACUGGGGCUGAACUUUGGUGGCUGUCUUUCCUUGGCAGAGCCUGAGCUCAGGUGCCAGUUUGAAGGUGACUGGAUGGAUAUGGACUACCCUGGGCUCAGGUUUCCUCCUGCCAGGUCGUCAGGUUGGAUCUGGGCAGAGCUGGAGCUCUAGUGGGGUUCUGCACGUGGCAGGAUGACACUGGGCCUCUCCUUGCCUGGGCUCCCAAGCAGGUUAGCGAGGCCAAUCUUGGCCGAGUUUGAGCCCUGCCUAUUGAAUGGAGGUGGUCUUGUGUCUGGCCUGAACUCUGCUUGGGGCCUGCUUGUGGCAGUUAUUAUCAGACCUACUUGGGACAGGCUCCCGUACCUGUCAGUGAGUCUGACCUGGGCUGGGGCUGAUGUUCUGCAAUUAUCUGUCAGUGGGUGGAGUCGGUAGUGGGCAGAGCCUGAAUUCGGAUGCCUGUCUCUUGAUUACUGGAAGGAUAUGGGCUACCCUGGACUCGGGUUUCUUCCUGCCAGGUCUUCGAGUUGGAUCUGGGCAGAGCUGGAGCUCUGGUGGGGUUCUGCAAGUGGCUGGAUAGAACAGGGCCUCCCCUUGCCUGGGCUCCUGUGCAGGGUAGUGAGGCCGAUCUGGGCCUUGUAUGAGCUCUGGCAGGUUCUGCUUGUGGCAGAGUUGUCCUGGGCCGAGACUGAGCUCAGGUGGUGGUCUGGUGGUGGCCAUAUGUUCCCAGGGCUACCCUCUUCCCAGGCUCCUGUGCACAUCUGCAAGGCUUAUCUGGUGGGAGCCUGAGAUACAAAGGGGGGGUGGAGGGUCUGCUGGUGGUGGGAAGCACCAGGGCCUAUUCUGGGCUUCCGCUACCACUCAGGUCGUCGAGGCUGAAAUGGGCUGGGAUUGGUCACCAGCGAGUGUCAGUUGGUGGGAAGUCUGUCCUGGUCCAAUCCUGAGCUCUGGAGGGAGCUGCUGGAGGGUGGAGGCAGUUCUGGGCAGAACCUGAGCUCUGGCAGGAGUCUCACGAUGAGUUGAUGGACUAGGGCUAUUCUGGGCCCCGUCUCCUGUGCAGGUCCUUUGGGUGGCUCUGGACUGGAUCUGAGCUCCUGCAGUAGUCUGCUAGUGGGCAGAAGCAGUCCUUGCCCAAGUCUCAGCUCCAGGGAGGGUCGGCCAGUGUUGAGAUGGUCCCGGACCUAUCCUUUCCUGAGCUCAGUGCAGGUUCUGGAGGCUGAUCUGGGCAGAGCCUGAGGUCCAGCGGGUGUCUGCUGGUGUGCGGAAGUAGUCCUGGGCCAGACCUGAGCUUGCUGCAGGUGUCCUGGUUUAGGGAUGGACACAGGCCUACCCUGUGUCUGGCCUCCCACCCAGGUCGGCAGGGGCAGAUCUGGACUGUACAUGAGCUCUGGCUGGUGUCUGCAGGUGAGUUGAAGCCAUCCUGGGCUGGGCCUGAGCAUCCCACUGGUGGCGGGAUGAAACCAGGCUACACUGGGCCACAGCUCUAGUGCAUCUGGGAAGGGCCUGAGCUCAGGCGGGUAUCUCUGGACCUUUAUUUUAUUCAUUUGUUUUAGGUGGUACUGAGAAUCAAAGCCAGUGCCUCACAUGUGGGAGACAAGAGUUCUAUCACUGAGUCACAACCCCAGCCCUAUUUGCUUCUUGUUGACCUUUAAUCAUACCAUCUUUUGGUUCUAUAUCGUUUGUUCAUGCAUGCAUUUGAAUUUUAACAAGUAGCUAUUAUGUGAUAUCACCUGCAAUGCUUCUCAAGCUGGCCCCAAAUGAGACCUUGAUCCUCAGCAGGAUUACAUCCCACACAUCCAUGUCACCUCUGGCAUAGGUGCAGAAGAGAGAUAUUUAAGACAUCGUCCUUGACUCUCAACUUUUGGGACAAAUUGUUUUGAAGAGGUAAAGGAUAAGUGGUCAUAAGAGAUCCUGCAGAACGCAGAGCAGGUAUGGUUUUGAAUGAAUACGGAUUUAUGUAUUGAUAAAGUUUGUUUAUUUCCUUUUUGCUGUCGUUCAUGUAUCUGUAAUUUGUUUUUCCUUUUUCUUUUUGGAAUGGGGAUCAAACCCAUGGCUUUGGGAAUGUGAGGCAAGUGCUUUACAGCUUUACCAUUGAGCCACUUCCCACCCCCUUCAUUCAUUGUCAGCGUGGGAAUUCGGGGCUGUUUUUAUGAAUGAAUCUACUAUGAAUGUUAAAAAGAGACUGACCAAUGGCGUUCGUGUGUGUCCAACCCAAUUAUCAUAACUUUGGGCCAAUAGCAUUGGUACUUCUUUCAAGUCCUAAUUAGCAUAAGUUUGGACCAAUAGCAUUGGACCAAGUGCUAUAUAAACCCCUUGGAGGCUGCUCUGACGAGGAGAAGCUGCCAAGGUCCUGAAGGUUCCUGAGCUGGAGUUCGCUGGAGUUUCUGGAGUUUCACCGGAGUUUCGUCUGAGUUCAGCUGGACUUCCGCCGAGUUCCACCGACAUUCCAGCCUGCUUUGGUUCCCGGAGAUGAUUCUUUGACGAAAGAGACUGCAGAAAGACGAAGAAAUGGUUGAGGAUCUGCUGAGGUAUGCUGCAACGCUAGUUGGAAUGGCCCGCCACGAUGAGCUAGGACUCCUCUGCUGCAGAGGGCUCCCCGCCCCGUGCUGGCAGUCUCCUACCUGCCAGUAGAAGCCAUGGAGGUUGAUCUUAAAACUCCGGUUUCAAAGAUGAAGCCUGUUGGUGGACUAUACAUCCUGCCUUGAAGCAGUGUUCAGAAGGAGAGAAUCUAUGGGUUGGAGGUGAUCUCGUCCUAGUUAGCGAGUCCUUUGAGCAAUACUUGAGCACAUCAUAUUGACACUGGCUUGGGAAGGGGAUUCCCAGAAUGAAGGCAUCACUUCUGCAUUCUUACAGGCUAUUAUGCACCAGGAAGGCCACCUAGAUGAUGGCUUAAACUUUUCUAGAUCUCAGCAUGAAGAAACAUGCACAGACCAAGUCAUCUGGAGCAAUGUCUCACUUUUCAGUAGAUUUAUAAGGAGCCUGGAUGCUCUCAGCAAGAAAGCGAAGACUCCUGAAACCAACCUGCCCAUAUAGUUGGUGAGCCUGAGUCUGCAGGAUAUCAACUGUUACUUCCACCCUCCUAAUGAGCACUUGGAGCAUGAGGACAAACUGAACAGGUUGCAUGCCCUGAAGAAUUGGCAGAACCUCUUCUGGGGAGAGAAAUCCCAGACUCAUCUCGGCUGUUGGGUGAUGACAUGCUUACAUUGUCAGUAAAAACAAAUCCCAGCUUCCACAUCUGCUCCUUCACAUCAAUGGAGUUCAGUCUGGAAAGACAAAAAGAAGAAUUUGCAGAUAAACAUUAAUUAAAGGCCCUAAAGGUUGGAAGAGCCUGAAGCAUCCACCUUCAGGAAGCCUAGCAGCUUCCCUGGGAGCUGGUUCUGCCCAUGUGGGUACAGGGGGAAGAGCAGAGACCUGUUCCUAGGACACCCUCCUGUCCUGAGACACUUCUUUAGAGGGGUCUUGGAAAGCAAAACAAAACACUACCACAUCACUCUACUUAAGAGUAGCUUUUCUUCUUCACUUUUCCUUUCCUACAUUUAAAUAUGAGCUAACCUUACUUUAUUCAUGACAGUUAUUCCUGAAAAUUGUACUCAGUUAGCCAAUGUGUAUACUUCAAAAGUUUCCUCACUAACCUCCAUUAUGAUUGCAUUCCAACAGUUGUUUUUUGUUGUUGUUGUUGUUAAAAUAAUAAAAACUUGCAUACAUGGA